Molecule: ribosomal RNA, 295 nt
Filed under: uncultured bacterium
Lineage: Bacteria
Description: partial 16S ribosomal RNA
Rfam family: Bacterial small subunit ribosomal RNA
Source: RNAcentral
GGAUUAGAUACCCUGGUAGUCCACGCCGUAAACGAUGUUUGCUAGUUGUCAGGCCCUCAGGGUUUGGUGACGGAGAGAAAUCAUUAAGCAAACCGCCUGGGGAGUACGGCCGCAAGGUUAAAACUCAAAGGAAUUGACGGGGACCCGCACAAGCGGUGGAGCAUGUUGUUUAAUUCGAAACAACGCGAAGAACCUUACCCACUCUUGACAUCCUCCUUGGGACUUGGAGAGAUCCUUGUCUUCGGUUCGGCCGGGGGAGUGACAGGUGCUGCAUGGCCGUCGUCAGCUCGUGUCG